Long non-coding RNA from Neopsephotus bourkii (Bourke's parrot), 5675 nucleotides. RefSeq lists it as uncharacterized. The record is from RefSeq and is a predicted model, not a curated record. NCBI's taxonomy places the organism in Eukaryota, Metazoa, Chordata, Aves, Psittaciformes, Psittacidae. The transcript has 3 exons.
AAUCAGUUGGCAGCUUUGUCUUUCUAAGUAUCAGCCUACAAAUCCCUCAUUCACGGUUUUCUUUGAAAAAGGCCUAGGUGAGUAGACUCAUGUUGGCUGGAGUUAUUUGGUGGAAGGAAGGAUUUAGAGUUCCUUGCCCAUAAUUAUUAAAAUUUAGGGCCAUUGUUGGGUUAAAUAUGGUACACACAUGGGGAAGGAGGGCGAAUCUCUCUGAUCACAAGGGAAGUAUUGAAGUGGGGAUGGAUUUAUUUUUUUAGUCUCCAGAAGACCGAUUUAAGAAUGUGCACUGGUGGGAUGGAAAGAUGAAGCCUCCAGCACAGCUUGGACUCCAGCUCCAUGAGAAAUUGUGCUGAAUGGCUCCAGCAUCGUUCACCUUCGAUGCACCUGAUAAAGCAAUCAUCAUCCCAGAAAGGUCCUGAGAGGUAUCUGCAUGAAUGCCGGCAGAUGGCCCCAGAGGAAAAUGCUUGGUGCUGCACAGGGCUGGGAUUCGCAUGCUCAGCGCCGUAUGACUGCUGCAGCCUGUAGGUAUGUGAGAAUAAGGAACCCCUUAAACAUUACAGCCUGGCUGCUCUCUGAUCAAGUUCUCUCAUGGUAAUAAUCCUGGGUUUAAUGAACCUUUUGAAUUGUGAGCCCAAUUGAAAUAUUUCUCGGAUCAGAGUUUCCAUAGCUGUGUUUCAUGGGAAGAAAGAAGGGGAGGUGAUGUUUAUAUGGCUUUCUGCCCCUUUGCCUCCCUCAUCUUUUUGGUAGAAGCAUAUUUUCUUGCCUCACUAGACCUGGCUUGUAUGUGGGAAAGAAAGAGGAGAAGCCCCCCACCCAAGCUAUCAGUUUUUUCUUUUCUGCUUGUAGAUCUUUUGUUCACUGACUCUUUCCCAGGUUUUUAAUUUUUUUAAAAACCAUCUGGAGCCUUUUUUCUUUUCCUCCUGUUGGUAAUUUCUGCCAGGUUUUCAUUUUGACACUUCCUGUUACUUUUCUUUGAUUUCCAUUCUCUAUUUCUGAUUUAUGAUCCUUGUCUCUGGUGAGCCAAUGAACAGAAACUGGAAUCCAAGUGCAUCCUGUUCUGUAUAUCUUGUAAUAUUGUUACACAGUUGUUUUCCUUUAAGUCAAUGAUUUAUGCCUUAAGACUUCACUCUCCUUGUAAAAUGCAUUGCACGCCUGAUAAGCUAAAAAUGCUCAAAGCUCUCAGCCAAAGUUUGUCAGAAAAAUACUGUGACUUUAUGUAGCCGCAAGGGAAUUUUUAUCUGUGGUUACGAUUUCCAGAUUCUGAGCAUCUCAAGGGUGACUUAGUCAUAAAAUCUGUGUCAACACCAGAUAAUCAAACUGUGGGUAAUUAAACCUGUUAUCUCUGCAUCCACUGGACAGAAUGUCUCUGUUCAUUAUGUUGAAUCAGGUGUAGUCUGUAGCACACGUCUGUUCUUGGCCUGUAUCUUACUGCAGUUACUAUGUUGGUUAACUGCCCCAGAGCAUCGGGGUCCAUUCCUGUAGGCUGACACAUGAGCGUUUCGGGAACGCAGGAAACUCCUGCCCAGUGAAAGAAGCUCUCACAAGCUCUCUGGCUCACAUGCUGUUCUCCAGAUAGCUCUCAAAAUGGAUGCCAGCAUGAACCCAUAGCUCUCGUUCCUUGCUUGGCAAGAGCUUUUGGAUCCUGAAAUGAAGCACAGAAGGCAAUUCUGGCGCUAUCUGUAGCACUGUGAGGUUCUCAGAUAAUAAUGCACUGCUCCUGCAGCUCUUCCUGCGGCUCCCUCAAGGCAGCUGGACACUCCAAGAUGUGCAUAACAUGUACCAGCAUCAGCUUGGUUGACACAUUUCAGCUGUCUUUUCAUCAUGGGCUUACAGCAGUGCUGCUGAUCUAAUAGCCUUGCACAGCUAACCCAAUUCUUAAGAAACAGAAAUCAAAAGACAUCCAGGACACAGCAAGAGCAAAGCAGAGAAUGGAAAAGCAGUCUGAAGGAAGAUAGAGGCUCAAAUUUCAUGAUCCAAAUAUGUGAGGAUUUGCUGCAGUUUCUAGAAAGGAGGGUGCAAUUCAAUAUUUGAUUUCAUCUCAAGAAGAUCAAAUAAAUCGCUGGGAUGAGGAAGGCUGUUCAUUUCAGCUCAGUUCUUCUCUCAGCAUCCUGUUUCUCAUCCCAGAAAAUGUUUUAUUUUAAAAAGAAUACAGUGGUUGUGAUGGAUGGCAGAGCUCAUGCAUGUUUAACUUUAUAGAAGCCAAAUGAUCUCCGCUGCUGACCACCCAAACCUGCUGGAAAGUGCUUGCUCCAAAUGAAAAUGCUUAGGUUUAGUCAUGAUUUAGUCCUAAAAUAUAUUAAGUGAUGAUUUGGGCAGGGGAAAGAAAGUUUUUCCUGUAGAGGGAUGAUGCAGGAAAAGGAAGACUUCUUUAGUUUUCAGAAUGAUAUAUUUCUGAGUCAUCCAUGCAUGAUAAGUGCAGAGACAAGUGAGUCCUGCCCUUUGCUAGGUUUAUGUCUAUUUUACACACACACAUGCACGUACUCUUAUAUAAAGAAAGAAAGCUAUGGAGGGAGAGAACAGCAGUGAUUAUUACACCAACUGGUUUUAUUAUUGGUUUUGCUGUGCAGACUCUGAGCCACGUGGGUGUUGAUGGUUGACUUUUUAAGAGACUUAAUGAAGGUUACCUUUGGAAAUUGUGACAUUCAUAAUGAUAAAUGUGCUUCUUACUUAGAGGAAUCCAGUUAUCUUAAACAGGCUAUGAUAAAAUAAUUAUUUUCUUUGGGUUUUUUACAUACUUCUGCAUUAUCCCUGGUCAGAGCUAAUGCCAGUAUUUUUCAGAUGACUGUAAUUUUAUUGCUUUCCUACUGAGAAAGGGAAAUGAGGUAUCUUUCUUAAGUGCUCCUUGAAAAGAAUAGAAAAGCAAGACCAUUGUAAGUACCAAAAGGAGACUCCUCAUUAUUUGCAUCUCAUUACCAUUCAAAAGGAAAUUUGAUGGGGGAGGGAUACUGAUUCUAGUCAGACUGUCCUUUUAUGUCUCAUAUCUGAGGCACCUCUCAUUCACUGAGAAAAUGUUUUGAGACUCUUAAAGGCUGCUUCUCAACCCAGAAAAUGAAAGAAACCCAUUAGAAGACCUGGCUCUCUUGAGGGGUCUGUAUGUUUACUGUCUGUAUCUUCUGGAGCCCACCCACCCUUCUUCCUUGGGAUGCUCUUACACUUGUGACUGCUGACACAACAUGCCUUAAAACCUGUACUAGCUCUUGGUUCUCGCAUGUUUUGAUCAUCACUGACAUCAGCUAGAGCAUACAAGGUGUUGAAUAUAUCAGCCCUAACUUUAGCUCAUGGGAAUACCAGGAGAUCUUACAUCUCAGGCUUUCCACACAUGCUUGCAGAACAGCAUGGGUUAUAUUUGCACUGGGGUUUAAACAUUUUGUUUGCUGUGACAACAAUUACAGUGCUAUUUUCUAUUUUGCUGUAAGUUAGAGCUGUAAAUAACAGUGGAGAGAUCUAACCACCCCCUGCUCUCCAAGCAAUUUCAUGAACUCAGAACCGUUAGAGAACAAUGCAGUUCUGCUCUCAAAUGUUAUUGUGUCUGUGGGAGAGUAUUUCUCAACCUGUGCUCUGGGGACCACUCGUGGUCUGAAAGACUUCAGGGAAUGGUUUGUGAGAUCACUCUAAAACAAAGCAACUCUCCCCACUAUCUCCCCUAUCCCAAAACUGCCCAAACCCACACACACGUCACAACUUUCAAGGGGAGGCCUAAUUUUUACUUGCUUAUUCAUGAAGAACUGCACGAAGAGUGCUCAAGCAGCCUGCAUCCUAGUCCUCCACAACCUCAGGGAUCACUGGAUUAAAAAACAUGGUCAAACACUUCUUUGGAGAAGUAUGUCCAUUAUGUUAUUUAUUUGGGAAGACACAAAGUAUCUGCCUCUUGCGUUGUCUAUACUUUUUAGAGUCAAUGACAGAAUGCUGCAUCAGGCUUCCAUCAUCCACCAGGACCAGCAUAUUAGGUGCAACAGUGCUAGUAAUAAAACCCAUCAGUUUUAUGUUAUUUUACUCCACUCCUUUCAUCUCCUGGACACCACCUCAGAUGCUGCAGUGGCCCUUACUACCCUUACUACCACUGUUACAGUAGUCUGGGUUGGCUUUUCCAAUAUAAAUAUUGCUCCUGGAAUAUCCCCGCUACUGCAUACCCUCAUCUCAAAUGCAAACCUUUGCCCUUCCUCACAGCUCCUCUACACAGGAAGGACAUUCUUUCUGCUAUACACAGAAGCUUACAUUGCAGCUCUAUAUCUGCAGGAAGCCAAGACUAAAUGCAGCAGCUACAUCAGAUUGUGGAGUGUAAGACAAGGAGAAACCUCCACAUCAGAGGCUCCUCUGCUAUUGCAAAGAAAUCAUACAUUUUGCAUGCUCCAUCUUAAGAGUGGUUGGGUUUCUUGCUCCCACUGUUUCUACAAGCUUGUUGGAGCCUUGCUCCAGAGCUUGCUUCUACCAGAGCUUGCUGGAAACUUUGUAAUUCAGAAACUUUUUUAUGGUACAUGUAAAUCUAUUUAUUCAUGUGUUCAUGCUGCCUUUUAUCUUAGUGAAUCAUCUGCACUGCCAUCACAUCUGUACUGGCCCCUACCCAGAUGCUGCCGAGCACCUGACAAACGCUGCGUAUGGAGCUGACCCAAAAGGAUUCGGGACAAGAUGGAGCAGAAGAUGCCAAACACAGACGUGUGCAGAGGAGUCAAACUGGCAUCCUGACUGCUGAGAGCCCUGGUGCCUCUUCCACCACAGGGAACACAGAAAUGCCUUAGAGUACUGCUGUGAAAGGCAGGUUGAGGUAAUGAGGAAUCACAGGCAUGGCUGCUCCAGAGAGGAGGAGGCCAGGUUUAUUGCUAUACCUCAUUCACCUGAAUUCUUUACAAAAAGGAACCAAACCACUGCCACACUCCCGAGCACACAGGAAUUCAGGAUUGCCUCUUGCCUGCGCUGGAGCAUGGUCUGUUGUAAGUGUGGGCCCAAGACAGGGGUCUGAACGCCUGCCGGUAACCCCAGCAGUUUGGUUGUUAGUUAUUAAGGAAGCAAAGGAAAGCACAGGGACUGUGGUAUCUGCUGUGGCUUCUGCGAUCUAGGAGCACCAACAUUUGCUGAAAUAGAGUUAGGACUGUUCCUAUGAGGUUUUAGCACAACUGUAUUCUUGUAGGUUGAUGUUGAGAUCAUCUUAACCAACGCUUUGCUGCAAUGUCUGUCGCACAUUUUACCCUGUUUCAUGCAGCCCCAGCUGAAGCCUAGCUCUGCCCACGGCUUGGUAUGUCUAAAGCCACCAUUUAGCAUAACAAAACAAGUUAACAUAGGCUUGCAUUUUGGCCAGCCAGACAUGAUAACUUUUUAAUCUAUGAUUUUGUUUUGGCCAAUGAUUAAGAACAUGAUUAAAGCUGUGAUUUUUUUUGACACUAGAAGAUUUAUUUAUGCAUACUAAAUAAGUAUUUUUUCCAGUUCUAAUGCUAUUUACUGCAUGUUGCACAACUUCAGUCUCUAAGAAAGGAACAAAAAAAGGCACAGUCUGAGUACUGAGUGGCACAGCACAUUGCACAUUAACAUACACAUGAUAGAGUUGAUACCAGUGAGAUUCUAAUCUAUGCCACAAAAGUACACUGUUAACCAGACAUAUCCACAAACACUUCUUCCUCCACAUAACACUGUUUCAAGAAGACAGAUAUCCUGGUCUCAGGCACAGCUGUCAGCACUGCUUC